Ornithorhynchus anatinus (platypus) is the source of this 374-nucleotide long non-coding RNA. RefSeq lists it as uncharacterized. Lineage: Eukaryota; Metazoa; Chordata; Mammalia; Monotremata; Ornithorhynchidae. The transcript has 2 exons. The record is from RefSeq and is a predicted model, not a curated record.
CUAGAACAAUGAGGGGCUUAAACUGAGUAUGAACUGAACCUGCUCCAACCUGGACCAGGAUGUGGAAAAUGAGCACUAAAAAUGUUGGGACUGAUGCAAAGACGGGGCAGUGGCCAGAGCAGAAAAAGUCACCAGCUACCCCAGCCUCACCCUGCCUUGGCCGGAGAACAUGCCGAAGCUGUGGGAAAGUACUUAGUAAGGCUGUGACCAACAUUUUUCUUUCCUGAUUUUCCCUCGAUUCAUCAUAAAUGUUGAGUCAUUCUCCUCGAUUCUGCCUGAACCAGAAAUCUUUCUCCUUGGCCCUCCUUCCCUCCACAGCUCUCCGAGUUAUCCAAACAACAAUCCAAAUAAAGUCAUCAAAGGAAAAGGAAGAA